This 107-nucleotide small nuclear RNA is filed under the name Tupaia belangeri chinensis (Chinese tree shrew). Lineage: Eukaryota; Metazoa; Chordata; Mammalia; Scandentia; Tupaiidae. The record is from RNAcentral.
GUGCUCGCUUUGGCAGCACAUGUACUAAAACUGAAACAAUACAGAGAAGAUUAACAUGGCCUCUGCGCAAGGAUGACAUGCAAAUUCAUGAAGCGUUCCAUAUUUUU